GAACAUGCUAGAACUUAAAAACCAUGUUAGGAAAAUUUUCUGCAUUUUGGAAAAUAGUUUCAACAUUUGGUAUCGAUACCGAUACUAUUUUAUCGAUAUUUUUGAAAAAUAUCGAUACUUAUUUAAAAAGUAUUGAUAUUCAUCUUAUUUUAAAGAUUCCUAUAGCGUGUCUUCAACAGAUUAAAAAAAACCAAAUAUUUUUUCUUUGCCCCCUUUUAGAACCCUCUCAACCCUAUUCAAAUUCUUCAUUUUUCCUUUAAAUUCUUGACACAAAACAACUAACAUUGCCAUUCUCUACAAGAAUUCAUCAAGUUUGCUUUCAAAUUUCAUCAUUCCAAGAAAUUUCGAGGUAAAAACUCAUUUUUCCCAUUUCAAAUUUUGUUGAAUUUUUGUAAAACUAUUGGUUGGAAAUUGUGUUUUUGGUUUGAUUUGGAAUAUAUACUUGUGUUUUUUUGCAAGAGGUUGCCUAAAUUUAGUCAAAAUCUUAAAUUUUUUCUUUUAAACCCUUUGCUUACAAGGUGUUCGAUAAAAUUCCCCAACCAGAUCCUAUAUCUUAUCUAGUGGUCAACCUAUUUCUUUCAAUGAUUGUUUUAGAAAUGACAAUGAUUCUUACUGGUCUGAUCAAUAUUAUUCAAAAUGAAAAGUUAAUGUUUCUUGCACUCUUAAUGUCGAAUUUUUAGCCAAAUUCAAUUUUCAAUUUCUUAAAACGUUAGCCAAAUAGCAUUGGAUCAAUUUUUUUUAAAUUCGUUCACCUACACAUGCUAAUAUUGUUCGAGCAUUUUAUUCAAAUGCUAGACUCGAACAUGAUGAAUCCGGUGAGACUGUGAUUGCUAUUAAUUCUUUUCCCAUAAAUACUAUUAUUUGUCUCACUUUGGAGAACUUUGGUGAAUUUUUUAAACUUCCUCUCGGCGGUGAGUCGAAUGAGAAAGGUCCCUUAUAAUCCAACCUUGAAUGUUCGAAACUCGUAUGCAUCUGAGCUCAAUGUUCAUGAUCGUGUUUUGCAUUUUAUAAUUACAUAGAUAUUGAGUCUUAUUUCAAAACAUGUCGUUCUUCGAGCUACCGACUAUUGGUGGAUUGAUUGUUUUCAUAGCAAUAAACGUUUGGAUCUUGCUUUAAUUUUAAUUAAUGACAUUACCAAACAAAUUGGAAGGAACUCGUUAGUAAGAUAUCUUUGCCUUUUGACACGUAGUUGUCAUACAUUUUUAAAUGCCUAAACAUCCUAACCAAUGUAAAUACUCCUUUGGCUAUUAAUUGUCAACCUAUUAGCUUUACUGCCCUUCAUAAAGCUAGUUCUAAAAUGGAUCAUCUUAUCAAAAAUUGGGUUAAGGAUGACCAUCAUAACCCUUAAGAUGAUGAACCGACUUCUUUAUUUGCCCAACUAUCUGCUCUGCCUUUCUCCGACGACAUGUUUGCUGUCGUCCUUAGUGUCAUUACUUCCUUGAGUGAAGAGUUUCGGGGGUUUCGCACUUAAGUAGAUGAAGCAUUUCAACGUGUUAAUACUAAUGUUGAAGCUUUUGCUUUAAUAAUGUAUUUCUCCUAGGUGAGAUGCUGAAAAUAUGAAUUUUUGUCUUUGAAGGUGGCUAGGAGAACAUUUGAAAUGUGAAGAAAAGAAGGUGCUGAAUUUUAACAUUUAAAACCCCAAUGCUGCAGCAAAGUUGUGGCAUCAAGUCUAAUUGGAGAAUAUUGGAGACCUCACAUUUAAAGAACACCACAUCAACUCUUAGGCUUAAUCCAUUUCUUAGUCAAUAGUUGAUUAUGAUUGAGAACCAGAAGGAAUUAGGCUCUGCAAAAAUUGAAUGCCCCAAAUACUCAUAAAAGGAAAAAAUAGAAUAGAAAGGGGAGUUGACCUAGCACCCACCAUCUUUUGGGGAUAUAAAUACAUCAUUGUCAGAAUAGGAUAGUAGGCAGCCGCCUGAUACAAGACAGAACACCCAUUUUCAGAAGAAUAAAAGCUAGAAAGAAGAAGAAAAUGAAGGGAAAAGAGAGAAGAACCAUUGAGGAGAAUCACAUUAUUUGGCUUGAAAUCUCUUCAUGUUUCUCUUUAAAUUUUGUUUCUUUUCUUAUUUUUAUCUUAGACUAUUGCUAAGUUUUUCUUAAUCAUUUUUAAUUUGGUGUUUAUGGGCUAAACGUUUAUUAGCUAGAAUAAUUAUAAAACCUUAAUAUGAGAUUUUUGGUACUUUGCUAAGGAUGCUUUAAGCAAUAUGUGAUUUAUUCAUUCAAAUGUUAUUCAUGUUUGAUUCUUACUAUUACCUGAUCAAUGUUAGUGUGCAAUUGAUUUAAUUACUAAUUUUGAAAAGGUUGUAAUUAACGGACUUAAAACUUGAAUGGUGCAUGUUUAAUUUUUUUUAUUUAAUUUUAUAAAGAUAUAAACAUAUAUUGUUACUAUGCAUAAUCUUGUAGGAAUGGUGCUUG
RNAcentral lists this long non-coding RNA (2412 nucleotides) under Gossypium barbadense (sea-island cotton). Its description in RNAcentral is "long non-coding RNA (GBAR_LNC022463)". The record is from RNAcentral. Lineage: Eukaryota; Viridiplantae; Streptophyta; Magnoliopsida; Malvales; Malvaceae.